RNAcentral lists this ribosomal RNA (425 nucleotides) under uncultured bacterium. Its description in RNAcentral is "bacterial SSU rRNA". It matches the Rfam family "Bacterial small subunit ribosomal RNA", at positions 354 to 796 of the family's 1533-position model. The record is from RNAcentral.
GUGGGGAAUAUUGGACAAUGGGCGAAAGCCUGAUCCAGCAAUACCGCGUGAAUGAUGAAGGCCUUAGGGUUGUAAAGUUCUUUUAGUUGGAAAGAUAAUGACGGUACCAACAGAAAAAGCCCCGGCUAACUCCGUGCCAGCAGCCGCGGUAAGACGGAGGGGGCUAGCGUUGUUCGGAAUUACUGGGCGUAAAGGGCGCGUAGGCGGAUUAGUAAGUUGGGAGUGAAAGCCCGGGGCUUAACCUCGGAACUGCUUUCAAAACUGCUAGUCUUGAGUGAAGUAGGGGAUGAUGGAAUUCCUAGUGUAGAGGUGAAAUUCUUAGAUAUUAGGAGGAACACCGGUGGCGAAGGCGGUCAUCUGGACUUCAACUGACGCUGAGGCGCGAAAGCGUGGGGAGCAAACAGGAUUAGAAACCCCAGUAGUCC